Molecule: ribosomal RNA, 858 nt
Filed under: uncultured bacterium
Lineage: Bacteria
Description: SSU rRNA
Rfam family: Bacterial small subunit ribosomal RNA
Source: RNAcentral
UACGUAGGGGGCGAGCGUUGUCCGGAUUUAUUGGGCGUAAAGAGCUCGUAGGCGGUUCAACAAGUCGGUCGUGAAAGUUCAGGGCUCAACCCUGAAAUGUCGAUCGAUACUGUUGUGACUAGGAUACGGUAGAGGUGAGUGGAAUUCCGAGUGUAGCGGUGAAAUGCGUAGAUAUUCGGAGGAACACCAAUUGCGAAGGCAGCUCACUGGGCCGCUAUCGACGCUGAGGAGCGAAAGCUAGGGGAGCAAACAGGAUUAGAUACCCUGGUAGUCCUAGCUGUAAACGAUGGAUACUAGACGUAGGAACUGGAUUGACGGUUUCUGUGUCGUAGCUAACGCGUUAAGUAUCCCGCCUGGGGAGUACGGUCGCAAGACUAAAACUCAAAGGAAUUGACGGGACCCCGCACAAGCGGCGGAGCAUGCGGCUUAAUUCGAUGAUACCCGUAGAACCUUACCUGGACUUGACAUAUAGGGUCUAGCUAUAGAGAUAUAGUGUGCAUUAGCGCCCUAUACAGGUGGUGCAUGGCUGUCGUCAGCUCGUGUCGUGAGGUGUUGGGUUAAGUCCCGCAACGAGCGCAACCCCUAUCCUAUGUUGCCAGCAUUUAGUUGGGGACUCAUAGGAGACUGCCGGUGAUAAACCGGAGGAAGGUGGGGACGACGUCAAGUCAUCAUGCCCCUUAUGUCCAGGGCUGCACGCAUGCUACAAUGGCAAGUACAACGAGUCGCAAUACCGCGAGGUGGAGCAAAUCUCUUAAAGCUUGUCUCAGUUCGGAUAGGAGUCUGCAACUCGACUCCUUGAAGUUGGAGUCGCUAGUAAUCGCAAAUCAGCAAAGUUGCGGUGAAUACGUUCUCGGGGUU